GACGAACCGUGCGAACGUUGUUCGGAUUCACUGGGCUUAAAGGGCGCGUAGGCGGGCACGCCAGUCGGGAGUGAAAUCCCCCGGCUCAACCGGGGAACAGCUCCCGAUACUGCGUGCCUCGAGGGGGGUAGGGGUCGACGGAACUUCCGGUGGAGCGGUGAAAUGCGUAGAUAUCGGAAGGAACGCCGGUGGCGAAAGCGGUCGACUGGACCCCUUCUGACGCUGAGGCGCGAAAGCCAGGGGAGCAAACGGGAUUAGAUACCCCGGUAGUCCUGGCCCUAAACGAUGGGUACUAGGUUGUGGACUUGACAUGGGUUCACAGCCGAAGCAAAAGUGCUAAGUACCCCGCCUGGGGAGUAUGGUCGCAAGGCUGAA
Molecule: ribosomal RNA, 375 nt
Filed under: uncultured bacterium
Lineage: Bacteria
Description: bacterial SSU rRNA
Rfam family: Bacterial small subunit ribosomal RNA
Source: RNAcentral